AUUGAACGCUGGCGGCAUGCCUUACAUAUGUAAGUCGAACGGUAACGCGGGGCAACCUGGUGACGAGUGGCGAACGGGUGAGUAAUAUAUCGGAACGUGCCCAGUAGUGGGGGAUAGUCCGGCGAAAGCCGGAUUAAUACCGCAUGAGACCUGAGGGUGAAAGCGGGGGAUUGUAAGACCUCGCGCUAUUGGAGCGGCCGAUAUCAGAUUAGGUAGUUGGUGGGGUAAAGGCCUACCAAGCCGACGAUCUGUAGCUGGUCUGAGAGGACGACCAGCCACACUGGGACUGAGAUAUGGCCUAGACUCCUACGGGAGGCAGCAGUGGGGAAUUUUGGACAAUGGGCGCAAGCCUGAUUUAGCCAUGCCGCGUGCGGGAAGAAGGCUUCGGGUUGUAAACCGCUUUUGUUAGGGAGAAAUCUUCUGAGCUAAUACCUCGGGGGAUGACGGUACCUGAAGAAUAAGCACCGGCUAACUACGUG
Molecule: ribosomal RNA, 479 nt
Filed under: uncultured bacterium
Lineage: Bacteria
Description: bacterial SSU rRNA
Rfam family: Bacterial small subunit ribosomal RNA
Source: RNAcentral